AGAGUUUGAUCAUGGCUCAGGAUGAACGCUAGCGGCAGGCCUAAUACAUGCAAGCCGAACGGCAAGAUUUUCAGCAAUGAGAAUCCUAGAGUGGCGUAAGGGUGCGUAACACGUAUGCAAUCUACCCUCAACAGGAGGAUAGCUCCCCGAAAGGGGAAUUAAGACUCCAUAAGAUCACACGAAGGCAUCUGAGAGUGAUUAAAGUACAAGCGGUUGAGGAUGAGCAUGCGUCUGAUUAGUUAGUUGGCGGGGUAACGGCCCACCAAGACGAUGAUCAGUAGGGGAACUGAGAGGUUGAUCCCCCACACUGGCACUGAGAUACGGGCCAGACUCCUACGGGAGGCAGCAGUAGGGAAUAUUGGACAAUGGGUGCAAGCCUGAUCCAGCCAUGCCGCGUGCAGGAAGAAGGCCUUCUGGGUUGUAAACUGCUUUUGCCGGGGGAUAAAAUAGUCUUGCGAGACGAAUUGAAGGUACCCGGUGAAUAAGCCACGGCUAACUACGUGCCAGCAGCCGCGGUAAUACGUAGGUGGCAAGCGUUGUCCGGAUUUAUUGGGUUUAAAGGGUGCGUAGGCGGUCAAAUAAGUCAGUUGUGAAAUACGGCAGCUCAACUGUCGAGGUGCAAUUGAUACUGUUUGACUUGAGUAUUGUUGAGGUAGGCGGAAUGGACGGUGUAGCGGUGAAAUGCUUAGAGAUCGUCCAGAACACCGAUAGCGAAGGCAGCUUACUAAAGAAUAACUGACGCUGAGGCACGAAAGUGUGGGGAUCAAACAGGAUUAGAUACCCUAGUAGUCC
RNAcentral lists this ribosomal RNA (792 nucleotides) under uncultured bacterium. RNAcentral describes it as "bacterial SSU rRNA". It matches the Rfam family "Bacterial small subunit ribosomal RNA", at positions 8 to 796 of the family's 1533-position model. The record is from RNAcentral.